RNAcentral lists this ribosomal RNA (167 nucleotides) under uncultured bacterium. RNAcentral describes it as "partial 16S ribosomal RNA". It matches the Rfam family "Bacterial small subunit ribosomal RNA", at positions 340 to 524 of the family's 1533-position model. The record is from RNAcentral.
UACGGGAGGCAGCAGUGGGGAAUCUUAGACAAUGGGCGCAAGCCUGAUCUAGCCAUGCCGCGUGUGUGAUGAAGGUCUUAGGAUCGUAAAGCACUUUCGCCAGGGAUGAUAAUGACAGUACCUGGUAAAGAAACCCUGGCUAACUCCGUGCCAGCAGCCGCGGUAAU